RNAcentral lists this ribosomal RNA (497 nucleotides) under uncultured bacterium. RNAcentral's name for it is "partial 16S ribosomal RNA". It matches the Rfam family "Bacterial small subunit ribosomal RNA", at positions 28 to 507 of the family's 1533-position model. The record is from RNAcentral.
GAUGAACGCUGGCGGCGUGCCUAAUACAUGCAAGUCGAGCGAACAGACGAGGAGCUUGCUCCUCUGACGUUAGCGGCGGGCGGGUGAGUAACACGUGGAUAACCUACCUAUAAGACUGGGAUAACUUCGGGAAACCGGAGCUAAUACCGGAUAAUAUAUUGAACCGCAUGGUUCAAUAGUGAAAGACGGUUUUGCUGUCACUUAUAGAUGGAUCCGCGCUGCAUUAGCUAGUUGGUAAGGUAACGGCUUACCAAGGCAACGAUGCGUAGCCGACCUGAGAGGGUGAUCGGCCACACUGGAACUGAGACACGGUCCAGACUCCUACGGGAGGCAGCAGUAGGGAAUCUUCCGCAAUGGGCGAAAGCCUGACGGAGCAACGCCGCGUGAGUGAUGAAGGUCUUCGGAUCGUAAAACUCUGUUAUUAGGGAAGAACAAAUGUGUAAGUAACUAUGCACGUCUUGACGGUACCUAAUCAGAAAGCCACGGCUAACUACGUG